This 320-nucleotide ribosomal RNA is filed under the name uncultured eukaryote. Its description in RNAcentral is "partial 18S ribosomal RNA". It matches the Rfam family "Eukaryotic small subunit ribosomal RNA", at positions 1470 to 1796 of the family's 1831-position model. The record is from RNAcentral.
CCCUUAGAUGUUCUGGGCCGCACGCGUGUUACAAUCGGGAGUACAACAAGAUUGCAAAUCCUAGUGGAUGAGUGGUUCUUCGAAAUUUUCUGAAGACUGGGAUAGUUGAUUGAAAUUAUUCAACUCGAACGAGGAAUUCCUUGUAAUUGUAAUUCAUUAUAUUGUAAUGAAUACGUCCCUGCCCUUUGUACACACUGCCCGUCGCUCCUACCGAUUGAACGAUCCGGUGAAUUAUUUGGAGUAGCUCUGGAAGUUGCAGAACUUCCUAUGUCACGAAAUUUUGUAAACCUUAUCGUUUAGAGGAAGGAAAAGUCGUAACA